UACAGAGGGGGCAAGCGUUGUUCGGAAUUACUGGGCGUAAAGGGCGCGUAGGCGGCCUUCUAAGUCGAACGUGAAAUCCCCGGGCUCAACCCGGGAACUGCGUCCGAGACUGAAAGGCUCGAAUCCGGGAGAGGGAUGUGGAAUUCCAGGUGUAGCGGUGAAAUGCGUAGAUAUCUGGAGGAACAUCGGUGGCGAAAGCGACUUCCUGGACCAAUACUGACGCUCAUGUGCGAAAGCGUGGGGAGCAAACAGG
Molecule: ribosomal RNA, 253 nt
Filed under: uncultured bacterium
Lineage: Bacteria
Description: partial 16S ribosomal RNA
Rfam family: Bacterial small subunit ribosomal RNA
Source: RNAcentral